Molecule: long non-coding RNA, 2652 nt
Filed under: Glycine max (soybean)
Lineage: Eukaryota; Viridiplantae; Streptophyta; Magnoliopsida; Fabales; Fabaceae
Description: long non-coding RNA (GMAX_LNC000314)
Source: RNAcentral
UGCCUCAAUCCGUUUAUGUAAGUUUUAUGUCUAAAUGGAUAUUCUGAUCAAUCAUUCUUAAACACACAGACUACAUUCAUGCUUAAAGUUUUGAACUCCUUUCUAAGCCUUGGAACAUCAAAUCUGGGAUCACAAAAUAUCGGACUGACAUCAGUUCCACGUAACAUAGGUUGAAAACUCGGAAACAAUCUUAUACUGUGUUAUAAGCUUAUAAUGGAACCGUGAUGAGUCAAAAAGCCUGCCCAAAGUUACAUUGCAGUCUAUGACAGACAGCGUCACAAUAUUGAAUGCAUUAAGAUAAAUGCCAUCCAAAACUAUCGAUAGGUUACCAACUCAUUAAUUGUCCAACAAAUGAAGAUCCUGAGCUGACCUCUAAAUAUCCACAGAACAAGCUUGGUUUGUUGAAUAGUACAUGACGCAUCACACCAAUAUCUUGAACAGGGCAACCUUUUUUUUUACAAGAAAUGUUCACCAAAUAGUCUUGACAAAUACCACAGGCCCUGUAGCAACUAUACUAUGUCACAGGUUGUAUGAUUUCAGAAUUACAUUGAUGUAUCAGAAUAUGUUUAACUAUCCAGAAGAAUUAAACAAACAAAUACGCUGAGAACAACGAAAAAAAUAAUGUUACUAGUCUAGCUACAAAAAAAUAUUACAUCAAACACAAAUAUUCACCCACAAUUAUAGGAACUUGCAAUGAAUAGUAUUAUAUUAAAUUUUAUUAAUCAAAUCCUAAAUGCACUACUAAUAUAUGAUUCUCCUUUUGCAAUUUCAAAGGUUAAAAGUAACAAGAGAGACUAAGGAGCUUUUGCGAUGUGGAGUCCAGAUGUAGCUCAAAUAAUAACAAAGCAUAUUAUUGGGCAACGAUGGACACUUUUCCAAAAGAUGUUAUCAUACAACAUGGGAAACCCAUAUGUAUCAGACUCACUCUUGGUAUAUUAUGUCCCAGACAUGUAACGGUAUCCACCAAAUUCCAAACAAAGCAGACACCUGACUAUGUCUGGUAUUCAAAAUAAAAAAAUGUCAUGAAUUGUUUUUCUAUAUUAACUGUUUGCCAACCAAGGAAAAAAAAACUAAAAGGUAUUCUACCACUAUAAUAGGAACUUGACAUAAAUGAUAAGAGGGGCAAAGGUUUUGUGAUGUGAAGUUCAGAUGUAGCUCAAAUAAUAACAGUAUAUUAUUGGGUAACGAUGAACACCUUUCAAAGAGUUAUAAAACAACAUGGGAAACCCAUAUUUAUCAUACACACUCCAAGGAUAUUAUGUCCCAGACAUGUAACAGUCUCUACCAAAUUUCCAAACACGGCAGACACCUGACUAUGUCUGGUAUUCAAAAGAAAAACAAAUCAUGAAUUGAUUUCCUCCACAACAAACGGAAAAAAAACUGACAGGUAUUCAACCACCAUAAUAGGAACUUGCAAUAAUUAAAUCUUGUUUGUGUGUAGCAUUCAUAUAUUCUAAAGGCAUGACUAAUGCAAAAAAGUUUUGCUUGAAAGGAAAAAAGUUGAGUAAAGGGCAGAAAUUGUGAUGUAGAGCCCAGAUGUAGCUCAAAUAAUAACAAUGCGUAUUAUUGGGCAACGAUGGACACCUUUCCAAGAGUUAUAAGACAACAUGGGAAACCCAUAUUUAUGAUACACACUCUAAGGAUAUUAUGUACCAGACAUGUAACAGUCUCUACCAAAUUUCCAAACAUGGCAGACACCUGACUAUGUCUGGUAUUCAAAAGAAAAACAAAUCAUGAAUUGUUUUCCUCCACAACAAACGGAAAAAAAACAGACAGGUAUUCAACCACCAUAAUAGGAACUUGCAAUAAUUAAAUCUUGUUUGUGUGUAGCAUUCAUAUAUUCUAAAGGCAUGACUAAUGCAAAAAAGUUUUGCUUGAAAGGAAAAAAGUUGAGUAAAGGGCAGAAAUUGUAGAGCCCAGAUGUAGCUCAAAUAAUAACAAUGUGUAUUAUUGGGCAACGAUGGACACCUUUCCAAGAGUUAUAAGACAACAUGGGAAACCCAUAUUUAUCAUACACACUCUAAGGAUAUUAUGUCCCAGACAUGUAACAGUCUCUACCAAAUUUCCAAACACGGCAGACACCUGACUAUGUCUGGUAUUCAAAAGAAAAAACAAAUCAUGAAUUAUUUUCCUCAGCAACAAACGGAAAAAAAACUAACACGGGUAUUCAACCACCAUAAUUGGAACUUGCAAUAAUUAAAUCUUGUUUGUGUGUCUAAUGCAAAAAAGUCCAGAUGUAGAGUCCAGAUGUAGCUCAAAUAAUAACAAUCCAUAUUAAUGGGCAACGAUGGACACCUUCAAAAGAGAUUAUAUAAUACAACAUGGGAAACCCAUAUUUAUCAAACGCACUCUCAGUAUAUUAUGUCCCAGACAUGUAACAGUCUCUACCAAAUUACCAAACACGGUAGACACCUGACUAUGUCUGGUAUUCAAAAUGUAAAAAAAACAUGUCAUGAAUAGCAACCAAGGCAAAAGAAAAGUAAAUAGGAACAUGUCAUAAUUAUUGUUUAAGUGUGUAUAUCAAUAGAUUCUAAAUUCUAAUAUCAUGACUAAUGCAGACAAGUUUUGGUUGAAAGGAACAAAGGUGAAUGAGGGGGCAGAGAUUGUGAUGUGGAGUCCAGAUGUAGCUCAAAUAAUAUAAACUAAUACAUU